This 497-nucleotide ribosomal RNA is filed under the name uncultured bacterium. RNAcentral's name for it is "partial 16S ribosomal RNA". It matches the Rfam family "Bacterial small subunit ribosomal RNA", at positions 28 to 507 of the family's 1533-position model. The record is from RNAcentral.
GAUGAACGCUGGCGGCGUGCCUAAUACAUGCCAGUCGAGCGAACAGACGAGGAGCUUGCUCCUCUGACGUUAGCGGCGGACGGGUGAGUAACACGUGGAUAACCUACCUAUAAGACUGGGAUAACUUCGGGAAACCGGAGCUAAUACCGGAUAAUAUAUUGAACCGCAUGGUUCAAUAGUGAAAGACGGUUUUGCUGUCACUUAUAGAUGGAUCCGCGCCGCAUUAGCUAGUUGGUAAGGUAACGGCUUACCAAGGCGACGAUGCGUAGCCGACCUGAGAGGGUGAUCGGCCACACUGGAACUGAGACACGGUCCAGACUCCUACGGGAGGCAGCAGUAGGGAAUCUUCCGCAAAGGGCGAAAGCCUGACGGAGCAACGCCGCGUGAGUGAUGAAGGUCUUCGGAUCGUAAAACUCUGUUAUUAGGGAAGAACAAAUGUGUAAGUAACUAUGCACGUCUUGACGGUACCUAAUCAGAAAGCCACGGCUAACUACGUG